UAAACUUAAAACAUCACUUCUAAACCCUAAAUCAUCAACUCUAAACCCUAAACAACGAAACAUUCAAAUCUAAACCCUAAAACAUCAAAUGUAAACCCUAAACUCUAAAUAAUCAACUCUAAACCCUAAACUAUAAAACAUCAACUCUAAACCCUAAACCCCGAAACAUCAACUCUAAACCCUAAACUCUAAACCUUCAAAUCUAAACCCUAAAACAUAAACUCUAAAC
RNAcentral lists this long non-coding RNA (229 nucleotides) under Brassica rapa (field mustard). Its description in RNAcentral is "long non-coding RNA (BRAP_LNC002778)". Lineage: Eukaryota; Viridiplantae; Streptophyta; Magnoliopsida; Brassicales; Brassicaceae. The record is from RNAcentral.